GACGAACGCUGGCGGCGUGCUUAACACAUGCAAGUCGAACGAGAGCGUAGAGAAAGCUUGCUUUUUCUACAAUCUAGUGGCAAACGGGUGAGUAACGCGUAAACAACCUGCCCUACGGAUGGGGACAACAGCUGGAAACGGCUGCUAAUACCGAAUACGUUCCGAAAGUCGCAUGACUAUCGGAAGAAAGGAUGGCCUCUAUUUAUAAGCUAUCGCCGGAGGAGGGGUUUGCGUCUGAUUAGCUAGUUGGAGGGGUAACGGCCCACCAAGGCGACGAUCAGUAGCCGGUCUGAGAGGAUGAACGGCCACAUUGGAACUGAGACACGGUCCAGACUCCUACGGGAGGCAGCAGUGGGGAAUCUUCCGCAAUGGGCGAAAGCCUGACGGAGCAACGCCGCGUGAGUGAAGACGGCCUUCGGGUUGUAAAGCUCUGUUAUACGGGACGAAUAAUCUUGUGGUUAAUACCCAGGAGAAGUGACGGUACCGUAAGAGAAAGCCACGGCUAACUACGUG
RNAcentral lists this ribosomal RNA (513 nucleotides) under uncultured bacterium. RNAcentral's name for it is "partial 16S ribosomal RNA". It matches the Rfam family "Bacterial small subunit ribosomal RNA", at positions 28 to 507 of the family's 1533-position model. The record is from RNAcentral.